Pomacea canaliculata is the source of this 1218-nucleotide long non-coding RNA. RefSeq lists it as uncharacterized. The record is from RefSeq and is a predicted model, not a curated record. NCBI's taxonomy places the organism in Eukaryota, Metazoa, Mollusca, Gastropoda, Architaenioglossa, Ampullariidae. The transcript is spliced from 2 exons.
UAUGAUAUGGCAUAGUACAUAUUUGCAAAAUAUUUCUCAUUUGUUUUUUUGUUUUUUUUUACAGUGGUGGCCAUUUAAUGGCUUGUCCAAAAAAACAGUUUUCUUUCUUCUUGCAUGGCCUUUCAUUGUUAAUUUUCUUCUCAACACCAUCUGCAGAAAAAGACGCACCAGAUAAAGACAAAAGAAUGCAGAAUGCAAAGACGAGUGACUGUGAUGACAAGUCCUGGAAGUUGCUGUGGAAGUGUCGAAUGUUUCUUUCAUCUUGCUUUUACCAAGCACUCCAGAGAUUUUUAAACAAGAAACGCCUUUCAAGGUGUUUUUAUGAUUAUAAUGAUGAAUGCUGCAUUUUAUGUGAUGUUCUUCUCCUUAUCAGAUUUAAAUAACAGGAGCAUUAGAGGCUUUUUUCAUAUCUUGCAAAAUCUCAGUUUGCGUAAAUAUUUCCAGAAAACAAAAAAAGUAAAUUGAUUUUCCAGUUAAAUUUUGUGAUGGGGUGGUGACUGCAGCAUUGCUAAUGUUUAAUAGGCUAAUCCAGUAAUAAUUCCCAUGCUGCUUGAGUGCUACGCAUAAAUUGUUGUGAACUUCUGCAGGAAUAUAUAUAUUUUUUGGUCUCCUAUUUAAAAAUGUCAUGCAUGCUGUAAAUGAGCUCACUGUGACAAGACUGUGAAGAAAGCAUAUGUGUGUAGAAGUGAGUGGCCAAAAACUGUUAAUUAAACCAUACUCUACUAUCUUUUGAUAUUUUUCAAGUAUACAAAUCACAUUUUAAUUUUUGAGAGAAAGUGUGUAUGUGUGUUGAGAUAAUAGCUGCCGCUUUGAUUGACUCUAAAACAGUGUUGUGUUCUUGCCUUCGAUUUUUUGGGGGAGAGUGGGUGGCAUUGAACAACAAACUAGUUGUUAGUGAACUGUGAAUAAAACCUGUACAUAUUUUUUAUCUAAGAAGCAAACUUUAGGUUGGAGCAAUUAUUGCAAAUCUAAUGAAACGAAACUUUUAUAAGUGAAAAAUGCCUGUUUAUUUAGAGAGGUAACAGGAUAAAUCAGCACAACUGAUUGAAAGAUUGUCAUUGACAGGUGAUGCAAACAUUGCUAAGUGAUACUAAUAUUGUCUUGAUUUUCCUUUGAGGGAAGGGCAAUAUGAUUUGUCAAAUAAUGCUAAUACUCAUAUGAAGAGGAAAAGACUUAUUUUUAUGUGAAUGCUAAUAAAGUUUUUUUUUAAGAUUCAUU